GACCAGACUCCUACGGGAGGCAGCAGUGGGGGAUAUUGCACAAUGGGGGGAACCCUGAUGCAGCGACGCCGCGUGGGUGAAGGAGCGUUUCGGCGCGUAAAGCCCUAUCGGCAGGGAAGAAGGAGGACGGUACCUGACUAAGAAGCCCCGACUAACUACGUGCCAGCAGCCGCGGUAAUACGUAGGGGGCAAGCGUUAUCCGGAUUUACUGGGUGUAAAGGGGGCGCAGACGGCAGCGCAAGCCAGGAGUGAAACCCCGGGGCUCAACCCCGGGCAUGCAUUGGAAACUGGCGGGCUGGAGUGCCGGAGAGGUAAGCGGAAUUCCUAGUGUAGCGGUGAAAUGCGUAGAUAUUAGGAGGAACACCAGUGGCGAAGGCGGCUUACUGGACGGCAACUGACGCUGAGGCUCGAAAGCGUGGGGAGCAAACAGGAUUAGAUACCCUCGUAU
Molecule: ribosomal RNA, 448 nt
Filed under: uncultured bacterium
Lineage: Bacteria
Description: partial 16S ribosomal RNA
Rfam family: Bacterial small subunit ribosomal RNA
Source: RNAcentral